GGAGCAGCGAGGCGGCGGAGCGGAGCGGAGCGAGGCUCCCGCGGCGGGGGCGGCCCCGCUCUGCGCCGGGCCGGGGGCGCUGCCCACGCCGGAGAACUAAUACAACUGUUCAGCUCUCCCCCGAGAAUGGUGCAAAGUAAAUAUAGGAGUUCCUGAAAAAUAACAGUGUGAAUGAGAGAGACUCUCUGCAGUAUUUAGUGUCCAGUUGUACUGGCUC
This 217-nucleotide long non-coding RNA is filed under the name Parus major (Great Tit). RNAcentral's name for it is "lncRNA (ENSPMJG00000011843.1)". The record is from RNAcentral. Lineage: Eukaryota; Metazoa; Chordata; Aves; Passeriformes; Paridae.